RNAcentral lists this unclassified non-coding RNA (407 nucleotides) under Carex vallis-pulchrae. Its description in RNAcentral is "partial 3' external transcribed spacer". The record is from RNAcentral. Lineage: Eukaryota; Viridiplantae; Streptophyta; Magnoliopsida; Poales; Cyperaceae.
CCCUCCCCACAAACGCAUCACGCGAGCCGGCGGGGGGUCCACUGGGGGGGAGCCUCCCUGCGGGGCCGCCCCCGCUCACGCUCCGGCGCACAGCAUAGCGGCCUCUGAACGGACUGUGCAACUGCACUUGCGUCGCACACCGAUGCGUACGUGACCGCUGGCUGGAUCUCAAGCACCAACACAUGCAGUGUGCGCAGCAGGUCCAACAAGUCCCAAGAUAGCGCUCACGUAAGCAAGCUCAUGCGACGUACGCACACGCACGCAUGUAUGUAUGUAUGCGCUUGGAUUUCAAGCCAAAGUAUUCUCCCCCAUGCAUGUCCAACAAGUCCGUCAAUAGAUAUAAUUCAUGUCAUGUAUGUAGCCUUUGAUUUGACCCCGUUAUUAUUUAAGCCUAAACAUAAUUAUGC